RNAcentral lists this ribosomal RNA (484 nucleotides) under uncultured bacterium. RNAcentral describes it as "partial 16S ribosomal RNA". It matches the Rfam family "Bacterial small subunit ribosomal RNA", at positions 30 to 507 of the family's 1533-position model. The record is from RNAcentral.
AUUGAACGCUGGCGGCAGGCCUAACACAUGCAAGUCGAGCGGAUGAAGGGAGCUUGCUCCUUGAUUCAGCGGCGGACGGGUGAGUAAUGCGUAGGAAACUGCCUGGUAGUGUUGGAUUACGUCCGGGAACGGGCGCUAAUACCGCAUACGUCCUGAGUGAGGCAGUGGGGGAUCUUCGGACCUCACGCUAUCAGAUGAGCCUACGUCGGAUUAGCUAGUUGGUGGGGUAAAGGCCUACCAAGGCGAUGGUCCGUAACGGGUGUGAGAGGGUGAUCAGUCACACUGGAACUGAGACACGGUCCAGACUCCUACGGGAGGCAGCAGUGGGGAAGAUUGGAAACUGGGCGAAAGCCUGAUCCAGCCGUGCCGCGUGUGUGAAGAAGGUCUUCGGAUUGUAAAGCACUUUAAGUUGGGAGGAAGGGCAGUAAGUUAAUACCUUGCUGUUUUGACGUUAGCAACAGAAUAAGCACCGGCUAACUUCGUG